GACGAACGCUGGCGGCGUGCUUAAUACAUGCAAGUCAACGACUUUUAAGAUAGCAAUAUUUUAAGGGGAGUGGCGCACGGGUGAGUAACACGUAGGCAAUCUACCUUUAGGACUGACACAACUCGUCGAAAGACGGGCUAAUAUCAGAUAAUGCAGCGGCUCCGCAAGGAGACAGUUGUUAAAAGUACAAGCGCCUGAAGAUGAGCCUGCGGUCCAUUAGCUAGUUGGUAGAGUAACGGCCUACCAAGGCAACGAUGGAUAGCUGGUCUGAGAGGAUGAUCAGCCACACUGGAACUGAGACACGGUCCAGACUCCUACGGGAGGCCAGCAGUAAGGAAUAUUGCUCAAUGGCCGAAAGGCUGAAGCAGCAACGCCGCGUGAAGGAUGAAUGGCCUUUGGCCUGUAAACUUCUGUAAAAGAGGAAAAAUAGUUAGGUAUAUACCUAAUGUGAUUGUACUCUUGAAGUAAGCCCCGGCUAACUACGUGCCAGCAGCCGACGG
RNAcentral lists this ribosomal RNA (500 nucleotides) under uncultured bacterium. Its description in RNAcentral is "bacterial SSU rRNA". It matches the Rfam family "Bacterial small subunit ribosomal RNA", at positions 28 to 520 of the family's 1533-position model. The record is from RNAcentral.